CCUCCUUUUUCUCUUGUUAGAUUUAUAGGGCUUACUUAGUUCAUACAAUGUGUUUAUUUUGAUACCUUUUAUUAAUAUUUGGCCAGUAAUCAUACUUAUACUGUUACAUAUCUGAGUAAAUACUUUGUUGCAUCUCAUGUAUCCAUUUCCGUCUAUACAAAGGUCUCAGCACUGCUGGAUACAGUGAACACAUUUGUACUCUCUAUCUACUGGCUAACCUGCACGGCAAUUGUGUGUAUUUUUACUUUGCGGAUUGAGCCUGACGAGCCACCGUCCAGAUGACGUCAUUACUUAAUUGAUCUACGGAUCGGGGGUGUGUCUUUUUUCUGCCUUUAAAAGGCGGUUUGCCGAUCGGGCAGUCUGUACUCUUGACAAAGGCGCCUGAGAGUGCCAAAACGCACGUCGAGUUCUGACGUUUCCUUUUUAACUUUGGGGCAACUCCCUUCAGAUAUUUAUUUUGUAUGGCUUUGUAGUUAGACUAUGGGAACUCUUUGAGCCAAGUAGUCUAGCCGGUACUUGAUAGUUUUGAACGAUCGUACCAGGGACUUUAAGUUACUAGGCACUUUAGCCAAUAUUAUUUCGUUCUUUCCAUCUUUAUACCACUAUAUCAGUCAGGGCAAAAUCUCUCCCUUUUCAAGCUGAUCAGAUAUAGACUCUCCCCUGUACUAUUUUGAGCUAAUAGGGUUUCACUAAGGGAUUUCUAAUUUUACUAGACACUUUAUCCACAAGUUUUACAGCAAUCUGUUUAAAGGACACUGUAUACCUUAGGGAAUGAUACUACCUUUCGCUGAGGGAUUUAUAGAUUUGACUAGAGGCUUUUUUU
This is a non-coding RNA of Pelobates cultripes (western spadefoot toad), 823 nucleotides long. NCBI's taxonomy places the organism in Eukaryota, Metazoa, Chordata, Amphibia, Anura, Pelobatidae. The record is from the annotation of a GenBank genome assembly.